This 80-nucleotide small nucleolar RNA is filed under the name Loxodonta africana (African savanna elephant). Its description in RNAcentral is "Small nucleolar RNA SNORD121A (ENSLAFG00000032918.1)". Lineage: Eukaryota; Metazoa; Chordata; Mammalia; Proboscidea; Elephantidae. The record is from RNAcentral.
UUCCAGAAACUGUGAUGUAGUAUUUUUCAAGCACAUAGCUUACUGUGUAUGAGGAGUCAGCUGUUUCAGCGUGACUGGGC